Long non-coding RNA from Gambusia affinis (western mosquitofish), 1484 nucleotides. RefSeq lists it as uncharacterized. The record is from RefSeq and is a predicted model, not a curated record. The transcript has 5 exons. Lineage: Eukaryota; Metazoa; Chordata; Actinopteri; Cyprinodontiformes; Poeciliidae.
CAACAUUAGAAACAGCUCCGCCAUGUUUGUUUUAGAAUCUCAGGCUCUGACGCUUCGCUACAGCUGACAGAAAGCGGCGGGGACGGACCACACGGCACUCUCAUAUCUUAUUAGGAAAUGAGAUCGCGGAUAAUAUAGGAAACAAAGACCCUUUUGGUCCCAUUUCCAAAUAAGAGUGUCUCCGAUCGGUUUCACGCAGCCUGACAGCAGAGGAAAAUAUGAACGACAAACCCCGACACCCAGGCGGACAGAAACAACAUCACAACAGGCGGCCAGGAGAUGUAGAGUGCAUCAAAGUGACAGAAGACUGAAGGCGUUUGGCAGGUGGAAGCAGAGGAGCAGCAGAUUGAAAGCGGAUUCUACCUUGUAGGCGACCCGGGGAGGGCAUUUCUUCCCCAGACCGAGCGGAGGAGACAUGUCGCGAAGCAGCUCGUACAUGUCACGCAGACGUCCUGUGGAACGCCACCGCGUCAUAGCGCCGCCUCUGUCUGGCGUAGCGCCGCAGGAGGAACCUACCAGGCGGCGGGGUCGUACUCUGCCCACACGCGGAUGAACUCGUCCAGGUGGUGCGGCCCGAGGAUGGAGGCGUCCCGAGUUAGAUACUCAAAGUUGUCCAUGAUGACGGCAACGAACAGAUUCAACAUCUGGGUGAAGAAAAAAAGGACAAGAUGAAGGAAAUGAACAUUUGACCUGAUUGGAUCAGAUAAAACCAGAAGCUUCACCUCGUUCUUCUCCAAGCUGCACUCCGACAUCGCCUUAUCUCCCUGCUCCUGGAAGGUGAUGAUGAUCAAAGCUACAAAAAUGUUGACGAAGAAGAACGGAAACACCACGAAAUAGACCACAUAGAAGAUCGACGUCUCCAUGCGGAAACCCGGGCUGGGGCCCUGGUCUUCGUACGUGGCGUCCACAGAAUGCUUCAGGACCCUGAAAAGAAAAACUCUCUGGAGAUUAUCAAACACUCAGAGAUAAAACGUUUUGUUACGACGCUUUUGUAGAGAUUAAAACGCUUCCUCUACUUCCUUUAGCUUUUACUCAACUCUGCCGGAUAUAUUCCAAAAACUUUAAUCUGCUGAGACGCAAAAUGAAAUGCUGAAAUGCAGCAGUGAGAUAAUCAUCUGCCUUUGUCACUAAAUAUAUAACGGCCCGCCAAAGAGCGUAUUAGAAGAAACAGAUCAGAGCAAAUUAUUUUCUUAUCUUCUAAAGUGGUUCUUCUGGCUCUCUGAAACUCUUUCCAAGUUUUCUUUUGGACGUCGUUUUCAAAGGUUUUCUUAUUUUUUUUUAUUUCCAUGAGUCAUCCACAUAUUCCAGGAAUACAACUUAAAGAAGACUUAGCUGUGUUUCCACUACAAAUGUGCUCAAAACUUUGUUGAUAAAAUAUAAUUUUCCAGUCGUGGUGUUUCCAUUAGAUAAGAAAUGAAAUAUAAAUCAUGUGAAUAAGUUUGUUUAUGUGAUUACUCAUUAAAAAUAUGCAGCGCCAACAUCCU